AGAGUUUGAUCAUGGCUCAGAACGUACGCUGGCGGCACGCCUAACACAUGCAAGUCGAACGCAGUAGCAAUACUGAGUGGCAAACGGGUGAGUAUAAUGUAGGAAUCUGCCUUUUGGUUUGGAAUAACACGGGGAAACUUGUGCUAAUACCGAAUAAGCCCUUACGGGGAAAGUUUUAAUGCCGAAAGAUGAGCCUGCACUUGAUUAGCUAGUUGGUAAGGUAAAAGCUUACCAAGGCAACGAUCAAUAGCUGUUCUUAGAGGAAGACCAGCCACAUUGGGACUGAGACACGGCCCAGACUCCUACGGGAGGCAGCAGUGGGGAAUCUUGCACAAUGGGGGAAACCCUGAUGCAGCGAUGCCGCGUGAGUGAAGAAGGCCUUUGGGUUGUAAAACUCUUUCGUCGGGGAAGAAAAUGACUGUACCCGAAUAAGAAGGUCCGGCUAACUUCGUGCCAGCAGCCGCGGUAAUACGAAGGGACCUAGCGUAGUUCGGAAUUACUGGGCUUAAAGAGCUCGUAGGUGGUUAAAAAAGUUGAUGGUGAAAUCCCAAGGCUUAACCUUGGAACUGCCAUCAAAACUUUUUAGCUAGAGUGUGAUAGAGGUAAGUGGAAUUUCUAGUGUAGAGGUGAAAUUCGUAGAUAUUAGAAAGAACACCAAAUGCGAAGGCAACUUACUGGGUCACAACUGACACUGAGGAGCGAAAGCAUGGGUAGCGAAGAGGAUUAGAUACCCUCGUAGUCCAUGCCGUAAACGAUGUGUGCUAGACG
RNAcentral lists this ribosomal RNA (768 nucleotides) under marine metagenome. Its description in RNAcentral is "bacterial SSU rRNA". It matches the Rfam family "Bacterial small subunit ribosomal RNA", at positions 8 to 822 of the family's 1533-position model. The record is from RNAcentral.